CUACGGGAGGCAGCAGUGAGGAAUAUUGGUCAAUGGGCGCGAGCCUGAACCAGCCAAGUCGCGUGAGGGAAGACGGUCCUAUGGAUUGUAAACCUCUUUUGUCGGGGAGCAAAAGACGCCACGCGUGGCGUUCCGAGAGUACCCGAAGAAAAAGCAUCGGCUAACUCCGUGCCAGCAGCCGCGGUAAUACGGAGGAUGCGAGCGCUAUCCGGAUUUAUUGGGUUUAAAGGGUGCGCAGGCGGAAGAUCAAGUCAGCGGUAAAAUUGAGAGGCUCAACCUCUUCGAGCCGUUGAAACUGGUUUUCU
RNAcentral lists this ribosomal RNA (305 nucleotides) under uncultured bacterium. Its description in RNAcentral is "bacterial SSU rRNA". It matches the Rfam family "Bacterial small subunit ribosomal RNA", at positions 339 to 642 of the family's 1533-position model. The record is from RNAcentral.